This 71-nucleotide transfer RNA is filed under the name Marmota monax (woodchuck). RNAcentral describes it as "tRNA.Ala". It matches the Rfam family "tRNA". From Rfam's summary of the family: Transfer RNA (tRNA) molecules are approximately 80 nucleotides in length. Lineage: Eukaryota; Metazoa; Chordata; Mammalia; Rodentia; Sciuridae. The record is from RNAcentral.
GAGGUUGUGGCUCAGUGGUAGAGCACUUGCCUGGCAUGUGUGAGGCACUGAGUUCUAUCCUCAGCACCACA